This 460-nucleotide ribosomal RNA is filed under the name uncultured bacterium. RNAcentral describes it as "partial 16S ribosomal RNA". It matches the Rfam family "Bacterial small subunit ribosomal RNA", at positions 338 to 795 of the family's 1533-position model. The record is from RNAcentral.
CCUACGGGGGGCAGCAGUGAGGAAUAUUGGUCAAUGGACGUGAGCCUGAACCAGCCAAGUCGCGUGAGGGAUGAAUGUUCUAUGGGUUGUAAACCUCUUUUAUAAGGGAAUAAAAUGUUGGACGUGUGGGAUUUUGUAUGUACCAUAUGCAUAAGGAUCGGCUAACUCCGUGCCAGCAGCCGGGGUAAUACGGAGGAUCCGAGCGUUAUCCGGAUUUAUUGGGUUUAAAGGGUGCGUAGGAGGCUUGUUAAGUCAGUCGUGAAAGUGUGCGGCUCAAACGUCGAAUUGCAGUUGAAACUGGGAGGCUUGAGUAUGUUAGAGGUGGGCGGAAUGCGUGGUGUAGCGGUGAAAUGCUUAGAUAUCACGAAGAACGCCGAUUGCGAAGGCAGUUCACUGGACUACAACUGACACUGAUGCUCGAAAGUGUGGGUAUCAAACAGGAUUAGAUACCCUAGUAGUC